UACGUAGGUGGCGAGCGUUGUCCGGAUUUACUGGGCGUAAAGGGCGCGUAGGCGGCCUGCUAAGUCGAACGUGAAAUCCCCGGGCUCAACCCGGGAACUGCGUCCGAUACUGGCAGGCUUGAAUCCGGGAGAGGGAUGCGGAAUUCCAGGUGUAGCGGUGAAAUGCGUAGAUAUCUGGAGGAACACCGGUGGCGAAGGCGGCAUCCUGGACCGGCAUUGACGCUGAGGCGCGAAAGCCAGGGGAGCAAACGGG
This 253-nucleotide ribosomal RNA is filed under the name uncultured bacterium. Its description in RNAcentral is "partial 16S ribosomal RNA". It matches the Rfam family "Bacterial small subunit ribosomal RNA", at positions 524 to 776 of the family's 1533-position model. The record is from RNAcentral.